GACGAACGCUGGCGGCGUGCUUAACACAUGCAAGUCGAGCGGAAAGGCCCUGCUUUUGUGGGGUGCUCGAGUGGCGAACGGGUGAGUAACACGUGAGUAACCUGCCCUUGACUUUGGGAUAACUUCAGGAAACUGGGGCUAAUACCGGAUAGGAGCUCCUGCUGCAUGGUGGGGGUUGGAAAGUUUCGGCGGUUGGGGAUGGACUCGCGGCUUAUCAGCUUGUUGGUGGGGUAGUGGCUUACCAAGGCUUUGACGGGUAGCCGGCCUGAGAGGGUGACCGGCCACAUUGGGACUGAGAUACGGCCCAGACUCCUACGGGAGGCAGCGGUGGGGAAUAUUGCACAAUAGGCGGAAGCCUGAUGCAGCAACGCCGCGUGCGGGAUGACGGCCUUCGGGUUGUAAACCGCUUUCGCCUGUGACGAAGCGUGAGUGACGGUAAUGGGUAAAGAAGCACCGGCUAACUACGUG
Molecule: ribosomal RNA, 468 nt
Filed under: uncultured bacterium
Lineage: Bacteria
Description: partial 16S ribosomal RNA
Rfam family: Bacterial small subunit ribosomal RNA
Source: RNAcentral